This is a long non-coding RNA of Oncorhynchus tshawytscha (Chinook salmon), 4547 nucleotides long. The record is from Ensembl. Lineage: Eukaryota; Metazoa; Chordata; Actinopteri; Salmoniformes; Salmonidae.
GGAGAAAUAACACUGGGUUACUCAAAUGAGAGACUGGAAACAUAACAUUCAAUUAAAUAACUUUAUUGAAACAAAUUAAUGAAUAAGUUAGUCAAAUUAGUUCUCAACAAGUAGUAAGCUUUUUAUCGUUUCACUUUUAGAAACCAAAUCAGGUGUGAAUUAGUAAAUAAAAACUCUAAAAAUCAUCAUUAUUCCAUUGGUAACUUCAUCAAUCAUUGAAAUUGCAUGGAAGACAUUUUGUUAGCAUUAUUUUAUUGCUUCGACGUUGUGUUAAUGUCCUUAUAACAAUGUUUCCUUUCAUUAGAGGGAUUUAAAGAAGUGAGGGAGGAUGGAUGGAAUGUUGUAAUGGCAGCAAGUCAGAGGGCCCGUCCCAAAUGGCAUCCUAUUCCCUAUAUAGUGCACUACUUUUGAGCAGGGCCCAUCAGGCUCUGGGUCAACAGUAGUGCACCACAAGGAAUAGGGUGCCAUUUGGGAUGAAGGCAGAGUGAGUGGUGUGAUGGAAUCGGUAAAGGUACAGAAAGAGAAGUACAUGCAGGAGAAGACUUGAGAUUGGAUCAUGCAUAGCAUUCGUGUCGAUUAGAAUAUCAGAGAUGUGCGGAUCUCAGUUCCUAUAGAUGCUAACGCCCCGUUAGAGGUGGCCAGGGCUCUGAGGUAGUUGUGUGGAAGCCAUAUGAUCUACGUGACCAUGCGUAUGAAGGGACAGUAAUGUCACUGUGUGACGCUCAAGGUCAUGCCUCCUGUCACAGUUUAAAAUUGGACAGAAUUUAAAUACAUAAGAGUUGCAAUGGUUACAUUUUAAAAAAUGUGCAAUUGACACGUUCAUCCCAGUCUUGUGGGACAAAUAACAUGUUGCUGUGUAAUAAAGGGACUGAGAUCACAAAGGAAAAUAUACAUUCCCUCAAACCAGUAGUUAUAUUUGUGUGAUGUAAUAUGUAGCACAUGGUUCUGUAAUCUAGCCACUCAACACCAUUGGCAGGAAGACCCAGAGGACCCCAUUCAUGUCACUCAGAGAAGAAAAUAUAAAGAUAUUCAACUCCAGAGACUAACACAUUUCAUGCGACACAACGGUUUAAUAUAGAUUCAUGUGUACUGUGUUGCUCAGAAUGAACAAUGAAUUGGUUGGACUUUCAAUCUGAUGUCAUUUGGGUUGUAGUUUAGGACAAUAAGAAAAAUCUAUUUACCAUCCAACAAUACAGUGCCUUAAUGAACGUGUUGUUGCCAACGUACUGUAACAAAAGCACCUGAUUGUGCCAUUGAGUUAAAACUCCCAAGAGUAAAAUGUUUCUCAGAAUCUCCAGUCGCUUUGAAUGGAACAUUUAUGCACCUGAAUCAACUAACUGCUGGCUUGAUUGAACCAAAUUAACUUGUCCAAGCCUCUCAUGGGGCCAUAGACUUUCUUGCACUGGCUGAAAACAGAACUGUGAUUCUGAGAAAAAUAAAAUGUCCUCCAUUGUUAGGGCAGGAUGCAAUUAUGGAUAACGACAGUCAAAUCAAUAGUUGAGCUCUGGGAAUUGUUGUAUAACGUGUGUGUGUGUGUGAGUGAGUGAGUGAGUGAGUGAGUGAGUGAGUGAGAGAGAGAGAGAGAGAGAGAGAGAGAGAGAGAGAGAGAGAGAGAGAGAGAGAGCGAGAGAGAGAGACAUUCUCUAACUGGGAACAGUCACAUGUGUCUUUGAUUAGACAAAAAUGCUACAUUUAUUUGAAGAUUUUAAAGAUAUCAUAUCACAAACAAUGGGACACAAAUAGUGACUGAAAUCUUACAUUCACUUUAAACAAUCAAAAGCAUUAAAAAAACACAAUCAUAGAAAUGUGACAUGUUCUUCUAGCUCUCAGAGGAGAAACAGUGGAGGUAUGAACAAAUAAGAUAAAAAAAUCAACACAACUUGAAACAAAUGGCAGACAAAAAACAUCGAAAUAGGACACCUUUUCUGAUUAGGUUUAUUUCUGGAUCCUCUUCAGGUGCCAUAGUGUCCACUACAGUGUUCUCCAGUUCUGUCCAUUAGAAACACAUUCCAUACAGUAUCUCUAUGAGCGAACCAUUGUUUAGGGUCAGUAAACCAUAAACAUAUGGCUAAAGUGGACAAGCUAUUCUAGAUAACGCAAGAGGGGCUUCUGCAUUGAAUUCUGUCAGGGUAAGAGGGGAAUUCUGUCAGGGUUAGAGGUGAAAUCUGUCAGGGUUAGAGGUGAAUUCUGCCAGGGUAAGAGGUGAAAUCUGUCAGGGUUAGAGGUGAAAUCUGUCAGGGUUAGUGGUGAAAUCUGUCAGGGUUAGAGGUGAAUUCUGUCAGGGUUAGAGGUGAAUUCUACCAGGGUUAGAGGUGAAUUCUGCCAGGGUAAGAGGUGAAUUCUGCCAGGGUUAGAGGUGAAAUCUGUCAGGGUUAGUGGUGAAAUCUGUCAGGGUUAGAGGUGAAUUCUGCCAGGGUUAGAGGUGAAUUCUACCAGGGUUAGAGGUACAUUCUGUCAGGGUUAGAGGUGAAAUCUGUCAGGGUUAGAGGUGAAUUCUGCCAGGGUUAGAGGUGAAUCCUAUCAGGGUUAGAGGUGAAUUCUGUCAGGGUUAGAGGUGAAUUCUGCCAGGGUUAGAGGUGAAAUCUGUCAGGGUUAGUGGUGAAAUCGGUCAGGGUUAGAGGUGAAUUCUACCAGGGUUAGAGGUACAUUCUGUCAGGGUUAGAGGUGAAAUCUGUCAGGGUUAGAGGUGAAUUCUGCCAGGGUUAGAGGUGAAUUCUGCCAGGGUUAGAGGUGAAAUCUGCCAGGGUUAGAGGUGAAUUCUGCCAGGGUUAGAGGUGAAUUCUGCCAGGGUUAGAGGUGAAUUCUGUCAGGGUUAGAGGCAGUAAAGGAGUCAUUAUAAGACCGAACUGUUGGCUAAGAUGCAUGCAUAUAUAAGCGAGGCUACAGUACCAGAGAUCAUGCUUCUGACAUGGAUGGAUGCCUCCCAGGCAUUAUCUUAUCAGCCACCACCUGACCGUGCCAUUAAGCAUUCACAUGACUGGCUAUAGAACAACAACAGUAGAAGUUGAGAAGGUGCCUGUGUCGGGGUGAACCAACUAGAAAAUAGUUCUCUCUUUAUCUCCAAUGAGAGAAACUAAGGCUCUGGUCCAACAUCCAGACUAGCACACUGCUUUGAAGCUAUUAUAGUUGGUGUAUGCCUUAGCACGCUAGUGUCGAUGUUUGGAACAUAGCUGAUGUAGUUGAUUGGUUUGGAAUACACCUCAUCAUAGACAUGAGCUGAAUGGCCCACCUAAACCACCUAGCCCACACAGGAGUGAGAUACUGCGCAACAAAGACUGAUGAGUAUUGAUACAGAGAGAGGGACACAACCCUCUAAAAUCUGACCAGGGAUCAGUGUUGUCUUACCCUUUGGUCUGGUCUGAGGAGCAUGCAUGCCUGAGGGGUGGGCUUCAAGGGAGAGGUUUUUAAAGGGAUCAACAGGUAGAAAACAUACAAUAUCCCUGUUAACCUGACCCUGUGUGAAGAAGUGUAUAAAGUAUCUUGCGAAUGCCAUGAGGGAAUGCUAGAGAGAGAGAACGAGAGAGUGCCCAUUCCAGAACUCAGAUUGUGAAAAUAAAGAGCCUUCCUUCUUGUCAGUCUGUUUCUCCCUAUCAUACAAGACCAUAUUGACUUUAUUAAAGAAAGAGUGACUUCCUUUUCUUUCUUGUAAAGUGGGCUUAUUGCAGAGAGAAUCAUGAAUCAGGGGAAUGUGGUAGAGUGGCAUGGAUGUACUUCAAUGAAGGAUGAAAUAAGUGUCACAUACAUGUGAAGCCUGAGUUCUUCUCUUGUCGUAACCUAGUCAGUCACUUUCUUUUCAGGAGAACAUACUGUGAAUGAAAACGAGGGAAGAACGAGUACCAUGUAACAACCUGGACAAGAGGGCAAAGUGAGAGAGCUGAUGUUUUGGUGAAACGUUUGUAGGUUUUUCCAUCCAUGUCAAGUCAUCCAUUUUGGGAUCUGGGUAGCCCCACAGGAGUAGAGGUGGACAUGAAGUCUUUGCAGUGCCUCGGAAAGAGGGUUGAGUUGAGCUGUGGUCAGUAUGGUGGGGACGUGAGGUGAGGAGGGGACAGCAAAGACCCCGGGCACACAGUACAUUCAUCAGAAGCUCAGAGACAGUCUCCCAUAGCAUCAGAUGAGAGCCUGACAAACAAGAACUGAAAUUACCCUGAAACAAAAGUCCUGAAUGUUGGAGAGCUGCAGCAGUUCUUCACUCAUUCAUCUGGAAGUUUACUGAUUACAAACAAAUAAACAAAUAAAGCAGGAGAAUAAAUAAAUAUUACUGAUACCAGAACACAGAAUCUGGUAAAAAAUGUACAAAAAACCCAACUUUGUUAAAAGUUCAUAUCUAUACUUGCAGGUUUAGGAACAUGCAUAGAUAGAUACAAUAUGUUUAACGUUGUUGUUGAGUGAAACUGGUUUGGUUUUGUUGUCAAGUAGUAGUCAUACGCUCUCAUUUCUUCUUCUUUUACCACGGAGGAACUGAGACAGAGAGGAACUGAGACAGAGAGGAACUGAGACAGAGAGGAACUGAGACAGAGAGGAACUGAGACAGAGAGGAACUGAGACAG